UCCAGUCCAUCAAAUUAGGUUUCUAGGAACUUCACCAUCUGUACAAAUUCUGACAGAACCAAAGUUAUCAAUCUCGUACCACAUAACGUACCGUUUUCGUUAUUGGUAUGGCGCAAUACUUUCGGCAUACCAUUUCAGAUUAGUCGAUAGUUCUAUUAAAUAUAUACUAUUUAGAUAUUUUGCAAGACUUUAAGAACUUGUCAGGUGUAUUUACAUCAUACAUCUUUUAAGUGAAUUAAACAGUGACUAACAAUAUUCUUAGAUGUAAAUCACAUGAAAUAGACAUUUUUUGGGUUUGUUUAUUGGCAUACUUAUAAUUACCAUGCUCCUCUUAUAACCAAGAGUAAUACCGCUCAGAAAAAGGUACUCCGGUUUUGAUAUACAAAGACCUUUUCAUUUUUGCGCGCGCGCGCGAGAGAGAGAGAGAGAGGUACUACACAAGGUAUUGUAGGCUCCUAGACUUGGCUUUUGUCGGAGGAAAAUGAGGGCAGGAGUGCAGGACAUGCAGGUUGUCAUUACAAAAAGGAGUGCACUUUGAAAGUUGAACAAUGUUAAAUAGCGUACUUCAUGAGUACCGGACAAAACGUGUCCUGGACCCCAAAAAUGUCCUGAAAGUGACGAACGCAGGAGUUAAUCGAUAAAUCCGAUAUAGUCCGGGAUUUUGCGGUAUUUUUCACAGGACAAAACUGGUGGCUAUUGUAUAAUUGUCUCAUUUCUCCUUGAUAAGGGACGUAAUAGUCAGUAUCGAUGCAGUCCAUAACGAAGAGGUCAGGGGAAUUUUGGUAAUUUCAUAUGGUUGCAAGUUAUGGCCCUUAUGCAUUGGAGGGGUAGUCCAUCGGCCACUAAGGCCCUCUCGUCGAGUCCAAUGAUGUAACAUAAAAAAAAUAUACCAAAAUUUAGUAAAAAUUAAGAGAAAGCAACCAAAAAGACAAGGUCAAAAAAGACUCCCAAAAAUUAGCAAAGAAGUGCUAAAUUGAUCUAUUGAUUACAUUACAACACGGUUUUCUUAAUCAUAUUUAGUCAAUGUCCUACUCAAUACUCAAUACUCAACACUCAAUACAAUAUUCAUAGACCUCUAGGCAAUAAGAAUAGUUAGACGUACUCAUUGCUAGGUUUAUGCUUUGUGUUAGACCACUGAGAAUAGGAAUAGUCCUUUGCAUUGGGAAGCCUAAUAAUUAGAGUAACUUCAAGACUGAGACAUGAAUGAAUGAAGGAAAAAAUAAAAAGUCCUGGAGCUUUAAGCUUCAAGAUUGUGUAAUGCAAUCCUCUUUCUUCAGUGUAAUGCUAAAGAGGCCCUAGGAGUUGGUGUGAUGUCUAAGGUUUUCUAGGUGAGGCAUAGGAUUCUUUUCUCUAUCUACUCUUCAAAUACAUAGUUCUGAAAAAAGAAAAAAGAAAAAAAAAAUCCCCUUUUCAUUGUGUUUUGAUCAUCCUCAACCCCACUCCAACUAUGUCCUACAUCAAUUUGCAGGGGUGUCACCAGGAAUAUGCAUCACUGGGGGCACUAUGAAAACAAAAACUAUGGUGACAACCAACCUAUGAUAACAUCCCACCGAACCACAACACCCACGACUUGAUGGUUGUUGGCGAUGCAACAGUGACUUGUGUGUUAUUGUUACAUCAUGAGAAAUGAAGGACAGUUUCCAAAUUUAGGACUACUACUUUGUUCACCCACCUAAUUAAUGGAUGAACAUUACUCGAUGUACACACUAGGUGAAAAUUAAUCACUUUUUGUAAAGUUCACACCAGAUUUUGACUUUGAUAAUCAGAAAAUUCAUUUUGUGAGGCUUGUUUUUGUAACAAUUCAAGCAAGUCCAUUCUCGUUUUGAUAAGAUUUGAUCGAAACAUGGUCUUGCAACAAACAAUUAGAUAGUUUGAUUAAGCACUUAUGCAUGUCUAAUUGAGAUAUAUUUUCACAAAAACAGUUAUAAAAGGUAAAACGUUACAAAAUGGCUUUGGCUACUGAAGUCGGACCUAGUAUGGAUCCUAAAUAAAGUAGAUAAUGUUCAACCUAUUUAAAAUUAUUCAAACAUAAUACCCUUGAUAUUUGCGUAGUUAUGCGAGCUAGUUGGCUCACAAUUGUAGAAAAAGCAAUAAUUGUCUAAUUCACCUAAAACUAAGACUACCAAUUUCCAUAACAAGAAAAACUAGAACUAAAAUUUAAAAAAAAUUGCAAUGGGGCUCGUGACCCCAGUGGGCCUAGAGUGGCUCCACCACUGUCAAUUUGGUAUUAGAGCGAAGGUAACAUCAUGUCUACACGAUCCGAAAGGCCUUUUAAAGUCGGAUUAACUCAGUUCCAGCAUGACGAGAUUCUUUUUAGGAUUGUGGAACAACUUGAUAAUUUGAAGCGGUCCAUGAUUAAUGCAAUGGGUAGUUUGGUAGUUUCAAAAGAUCCAAUGAUUUGGGAUGAUGAAGGGCCUCCUUGGGGUAUUGACUAGACAUGCAUCAUUAAAGGCUGUGACUUAUCAUUUUGGGAAGUUUGACCACAUAUUCAAUGCAUGCAACCAUUAGACAACACAUUCAUUCUAUCUAGCUAUCUAGGGGAUGGAAACAGUCUUUGAUAUUAAACACAUUCUUCCUAUUCAGCCAUCUCGGGAAUGGGAACAGUCUUUGAUAUUAAACACAUUCUUCCUAUUCAGCCAUCUUGGGAAUAGGAACGGUCUUUGGCAUUAAACACAUUAGGAGACAAUAUAUUGAUGUACUUCAAGAGUUUGAGAUAUGGAUUGAAUGAAUGAAAAAUUAGCUUUAAGCUUUUAUGAUUGUGUGAUGCAAUCUCAUUCUUUGGUGUGAUGCUAAAGAGGCCUUAGGUGUGAUGCCUUUGGUAACCAAGGUGUGAGGUCUAGAUCUAUCCUUUUCUAACUCUUUCUCUCCUUCUUACAAAAUAUUGUUCAUGUCUCCUGUUCACAGCCCCAAAACAGCCAUUUUUCCUGUGUUUGAUCAUACUUAGCCCUAUUCCAAAUCUGUCCUACAUCAUAAUUCUAGUUAUCGGCUUAAUUCUUUGGAAAGCGGAUCAGCCCAGAGGAAGGCAAUGAAUAAUCUGAUUGUCAAGGGUAAAAUGGGUUUGAUUGAUGGAUUAAAAACACCCCAAGGACCACCAAGGUUGAAGAAAGUUUGUACUCAAAAUGUUGUUUGUUCCAACGUUCAAAUUCAUGACAAGAGUUUAAAGAAUCAAAAGGCUCAUAUCGGUGAGUCAAAAUAACCCCAACAUUCUUCCGUCAUUGUUCUUAAAGAGGCCACCGGUGUGAUGCCUAAGGUUGUCUUGGUGUGAUGCCUGGAAUUCUUUUCUCUAUCUACUGUUUAGUUACACUUUUCACAGCCUCAAAACAGCCCCUGUUUUGUGUUUUGAUAAUCCUUAACCGUAUUGCAGUUCUAUCGCAUAUCAAUUUGGUAUCAAAGCUUAUGGUUUCACUGCUACGUUCUCACAAAGUGGGAGUAUGUGACACAAUAUGCCUUGAGCCAUGAGAUAGAAGUUCCAGAUUUUGAAGGAAGGAAUGAUCUUUGGAUGUUCUCCAAUGGGAUUGCAUCAAUUGAGGACUUCCUUGAAUACUAUGAGACGACGGAUGAUCGAAGAAUUUGCUGAGGUUAAACUUCUAGGCUUGGUGUAAAUGUGGUGGUAGGACAUAUUAGAAGAUCGGAAUUGCCACCAACAAACACAUGGCAAGCAAUGAAAGCUAAGCUCCAAGAGAAGUAUAUGCCUUCACAUUGUCAUGUAAAUGUUUGUGAGAAAUGCGUUACUUCAAGACGUGUUGAGGCCAUUAAAACUCAUAAUAGAAUCCUUGAUAGCUCACGCCUAAAAAUUACUAGACUUGACACUAUGUCAAGCCCAUUACAAAACUGCCACAACCAAGACAAGCUAGUGUGGUGCAUGCACAUCAAGUGACUCCAAAGCUGAAAGGAGUUGUUGAACAUGCCCAUUCUACGAAGUUGAUAUCACAAGAAGAUGAUUAUGUCUCAAAACUGCCCAAGGUGAAAGAACAUCAGAUUUUCUUUAACACAUUCACAAUCUUCGAUUGCCCUACUCGAAUAUGCAGUGUGCUUCUACCAGUGACAAACAUAGUUGUCACGGGCGAAAGGCGCACCGAGGCGCGAAGUCCUGUUGGGCCUGAGGCGCGAGGCGCAAGGUGAGGCGCGCGCCUUUUUGAAGCGAGGCGCACCUAUGUGGAAAAAAUAGCACACACUAAUAUUUCAAGUAAUAAGCACUAAGCCAAUGAGUUUACCAUCCAAAAGAUACAUAAAAACAUCCAUGAAAUGUCAAAUAGUCACCAAUCUCGCAUAGAGAAAAACUAAAAUGUCAAAAAAUUCGAACUUGUU
This is a long non-coding RNA of Rhododendron vialii, 4308 nucleotides long. RefSeq lists it as uncharacterized. The record is from RefSeq and is a predicted model, not a curated record. NCBI's taxonomy places the organism in Eukaryota, Viridiplantae, Streptophyta, Magnoliopsida, Ericales, Ericaceae. The transcript is spliced from 2 exons.